CCAGUAGUCAUAUGCUUGUCUCAAAGAUUAAGCCAUGCAUGUCUAAGUUCACACCCUCGUACGGUGAAACCGCGAAUGGCUCAUUAAAUCAGUCGAGGUUCCUUAGAUGAUCCAUUUCUACUUGGAUAACUGUGGUAAUUCUAGAGCUAAUACAUGCCCAACAGCUCCGACCCCGGGCUUCGCGGUUCGGGGAAAGAGCGCUUUUAUUAGUUCAAAACCAGUCGGGGGCUUCGGCCCUCGUGCUUUGGUGACUCUGGAUAACUUUGAGCCGAUCGCAUGGCCUCGAGCCGGCGACGCAUCUUUCAAAUGUCUGCCCUAUCAAAUGACGACGGUACGUGAUCUGCCUACCGUGUUGACUACGGGUAGCGGGGAAUCAGGGUUCGAUUCCGGAGAGGGAGCAUGAGA
Molecule: ribosomal RNA, 405 nt
Filed under: Angulyagra sp. 1 AJ-2009
Lineage: Eukaryota; Metazoa; Mollusca; Gastropoda; Architaenioglossa; Viviparidae
Description: SSU rRNA
Rfam family: Eukaryotic small subunit ribosomal RNA
Source: RNAcentral